RNAcentral lists this ribosomal RNA (468 nucleotides) under uncultured bacterium. RNAcentral's name for it is "partial 16S ribosomal RNA". It matches the Rfam family "Bacterial small subunit ribosomal RNA", at positions 28 to 507 of the family's 1533-position model. The record is from RNAcentral.
GACGAACGCUGGCGGCGUGCUUAACACAUGCAAGUCGAACGGAAAGGCCCUGCUUUUGUGGGGUGCUCGAGUGGCGAACGGGUGAGUAACACGUGAGUAACCUGCCCUUGACUUUGGGAUAACUUCAGGAAACUGGGGCUAAUACCGGAUAGGUGCUCCUGCUGCAUGGUGGGGGUUGGAAAGUUUCGGCGGUUGGGGAUGGACUCGCGGCUUAUCAGCUUGUUGGUGGGGUAGUGGCUUACCAAGGCUUUGACGGGUAGCCGGCCUGGGAGGGUGACCGGCGACAAUGGGACUGAGAGACGGCCCAGACGCCUACGGGAGGCAGCAGUGGGGAAUAUUGCACAAUGGGCGGAAGCCUGAUGAAGAAACGCCGCGUGCGGGAUGACGGCCUUCGGGUUGGAAACCGCUUUCGCCUGUGACGAAGCGUGAGUGACGGUAAUGGGUAAAGAAGCACCGGCUAACUACGUG